UACGGAGGAUGCAAGCGUUAUCCGGAAUGAUUGGGCGUAAAGCGUUUUAAGGUGGUUUGGUAAGUCUACUGUUAAAUAUCAGGGCUUAACCCUGAACAGGCAGUGGAAACUAGCAAGCUUGAGUACGGUAGGGGAUCGCGGAAUUCCCGGUGUAGAGGUGAAAUUCGUAGAUAUCGGGAGGAACACCAGUGGCGAAGGCGGCGAUCUGGGAAGAUACUGACGCUGAGGUGCGAAAGCGUGGGGAGCAAACAGG
Molecule: ribosomal RNA, 253 nt
Filed under: uncultured bacterium
Lineage: Bacteria
Description: partial 16S ribosomal RNA
Rfam family: Bacterial small subunit ribosomal RNA
Source: RNAcentral